UUUGAGAGGGAGAGACAGCACGAGCAGGGGAGGGGCAGAGAGAGAGGGAGGGAGAGAGAGAAGCCCAAGCAGGCUCCUCCCUGUCAUCGUAGAGCUGGAUACGGGGCGAGGACCCACAGACCGUGAGAUCGUGACCCGAGCCGAGGCUGGACGCCCAACCGACUGAGUCACCCAGGCAUCCCUAUAACACGGCGGUAUUAAUUUUAGUCACCAGGCUGUGCCUUAGAUCCCGGGACUUACUCAUUUCAGCCCUGCAAGUGUGUACAAUGUGGCGAUUCAACGUUUCCUUACGUGGCCCGGGUGCUGAUCACAGGCGAGUAUAACAGGUGUGGAUCCACACGUAAGUGGGCGCAUUGAGUCUGUCUUUCUCUCUGUUGCACUUAGUUCGCCUAACACAUGGCCCUCGACGUCCGUCCGUGUGGUCAUGAAACGGCCACCUCCUGACUAGGACUCCCUGUGGUGUGUAUGCCCCGUGAUCUGCCCAUCCCGGUCUGGACCCUGGGGUGCGCGCGCGUCUUGGCCGUUGCGACUAUGCCGCCGUGAACGUGGGGAGGGGGCAGAGUCUCCGAAAUCUGGAUUCCAGUGCCCUCAGGUAAAUAGCCAGACGUGACACUGUGGGGUCGUACGGCAUUUCUAUGUUUUAGUUUUUGGGGAAACUCCACAGUGUUUUCCACAGUGGCUGUGCCAGUUUGCCCCUUGGGUCUUUGCUCGUUGAUCCUUGUGUCUUUGAUUCCAGCUACGCUACCGGGCGGGAAGUGAUUUCGUGGUUUUGAUUUGCGUUUCCCCGAGGAGAUGCAUGUUGAGCUGGGCCGUCUGGAUGUCCCCUCAGAACAGGUCUCCUCAGGGCCUCUGCCCAUUAUUUAGUCAGUCGCAGGCAUUCACAUACAGUUCCUCUCGGUAUGUUUUCCUGUAUUUUAAAAUAAAAUAAAAUGAAAACAAAAAAGCCAGCCUUUUAGAUAAAGUCCUGGUCUCCAAAGUGUGUUAUACGAGAUGAUCCAGUGAGGGAUGCAAAGAAAAUACGAGAAUGUCUAUUUAUACUUUCAUUUUGAUCAGGGGGAAAAACCCCACUUCGAGCAUGUAAUAGAAUUUCACUGGCACCCUGGCCUGAUCUGUCUGUUACCCAGUGACAGCAAACAGCCCCGGGAGGAGCCCUCCCACCCACUGGCUGGACUCCAGAUUCUUGCUGUCUGGGGGGCACGGAUAUCACUGACCGAACCAGCACAGAAAGGUGGCGUUGCCGAGAAAGAUCCCCUCCCAGGACUCAUGUCUUGAAGACGGCACACCUAAGCGAAGAAGAAGAAAAACCAAAGCUGGCUUGUCCCACGCCUGGCGUGAGCUCUCCGUCUGCACACUAUGAUGCAAAGCAGACCACCAGCUGAAUCGGACAAGGAGCUCAUCACAGAUUCAGACUUGUUUAGAUCUCCAGGAUGAGAUCUCUCUGACUAGCCCCCAAAUGUAUUUCUAACAGACCCGGAUGUUUGUUGUGACGUUGCCUUAAAAUAGACGAGGAAUGUAAACAGUCUAAGCUUCCCUACCUUCCCCUGGCCUGAAUCCUUGAAUUCAAAAAUCCAAACUUGCACAAUAUUCAAGAAGGCGGAAGUAUGGCUGUGCCCCUACUCCCGUCAUAUGUCUCUUCUAAACCCAUUCUGAGCCUUGAGGGAUUAGCUAAUGUUGUACGAAGCCAUCACAAACUGUAAGAUCUUAACAUAUUCUUUGUUUCCUGGGUAUGGAUAUCUUAUGUUUUCUAGGUUGUAAUUUUUGGUGUAUGCUUUAAAAUGUGCAAUUCCCAAAUUGACAAAUAUAUUGUGAGAUUGUCUGCUUAAAAUCUUUUAACGUACGUUUUGCAAUCUUGCCAUAAAAUUGAUGAACCACCAA
Molecule: long non-coding RNA, 1875 nt
Organism: Felis catus (domestic cat)
Lineage: Eukaryota; Metazoa; Chordata; Mammalia; Carnivora; Felidae
Exons: 2
Source: RefSeq, a predicted model, not a curated record